AACGAACGCUGGCGGCGUGCUUAACACAUGCAAGUCGAACGCGAACGGAUUCUUCGGGACCUUAGUAGAGUGGCGCACGGGUGAGUAACGCGUAAGUUAUCUACCUCGGCAUCUGGAAUAACUCACCGAAAGGUGUGCUAAUACCGGAUACGUUGAGUAAUCAAGAAAGGUGGCCUCUCUUUGAUGCUACCGUGCUGAGAUGAGCUUGCGUACCAUUAGCUAGUUGGUGGGGUAAUGGCCUACCAAGGCGACGAUGGUUAGCGGGUCUGAGAGGAUGAUCCGCCACACUGGAACUGGAACACGGACCAGACUCCUACGGGAGGCAGCAGUGAGGAAUAUUGCGCAAUGGGGGCAACCCUGACGCAGCGACGCCGCGUGGAUGAUGAAGGCCUUCGGGUCGUAAAAUCCUGUCAGGUGGAAAGAAAUGUUUAUGUGCUAAUACCAUGUAGACUUGACGGUACCACCGAAGGAAGCACCGGCUAACUCCGUGCCAGCAGCCGCGGUAA
RNAcentral lists this ribosomal RNA (506 nucleotides) under uncultured bacterium. RNAcentral's name for it is "partial 16S ribosomal RNA". It matches the Rfam family "Bacterial small subunit ribosomal RNA", at positions 29 to 523 of the family's 1533-position model. The record is from RNAcentral.